GAUGAACGCUAGCUACAGGCUUAACACAUGCAAGUCGAGGGGAAACGGCAUUGAGUGCUUGCACUCUUUGGACGUCGACCGGCGCACGGGUGAGUAACGCGUAUCCAACCUUCCCAUUACUGUGGGAUAACCUGCCGAAAGGCAGACUAAUACCGCAUAGUCUUCGAUGACGGCAUCAGAUUUGAAGUAAAGAUUUAUCGGUAAUGGAUGGGGAUGCGUCUGAUUAUCUUGUGGCGGGGUAACGGCCCACCAAGGCUACGAUCAGUAGGGGCUCUGAGAGGAAGGUCCCCCACAUUGGAACUGAGACACGGUCCAAACUCCUACGGGAGGCAGCAGUGAGGAAUAUUGGUCAAUGGACGGAAGUCUGAACCAGCCAAGUAGCGUGCAGGAUGACGGCCCUAUGGGUUGUAAACUGCUUUUGUAUGGGGAUAAAGUUAGGGACGUGUCCCUAUUUGCAGGUACCAUACGAAUAAGGACCGGCUAAUUCCGUGCCAGCAGCCGCGGUAAUACGGAAGGUCCAGGCGUUAUCCGGAUUUAUUGGGUUUAAAGGGAGCGUAGGCUGGAGAUUAAGUGUGUUGUGAAAUGUAGACGCUCAACGUCUGAAUUGCAGCGCAUACUGGUUUCCUUGAGUACGCACAACGUUGGCGGAAUUCGUCGUGUAGCGGUGAAAUGCUUAGAUAUGACGAAGAACUCCGAUUGCGAAGGCAGCUGACGGGAGCGCAACUGACGCUUAAGCUCGAAGGUGCGGGUAUCAAACAGG
This 760-nucleotide ribosomal RNA is filed under the name Prevotella melaninogenica. RNAcentral describes it as "bacterial SSU rRNA". It matches the Rfam family "Bacterial small subunit ribosomal RNA", at positions 28 to 776 of the family's 1533-position model. Lineage: Bacteria; Pseudomonadati; Bacteroidota; Bacteroidia; Bacteroidales; Prevotellaceae. The record is from RNAcentral.